GAUGAACGCUGGCGGCGUGCCUAAUACAUGCAAGUCGAGCGAACAGACGAGGAGCUUGCUCCUCUGACGUUAGCGGCGGACGGGUGAGUAACACGUGGAUAACCUACCUAUAAGACUGGGAUAACUUCGGGAAACCGGAUCUAAUACCGGAUAAUAUAUUGAACCGCAUGGUUCAAUAGUGAAAGACGGUUUUGCUGUCACUUAUAGAUGGAUCCGCGCCGCAUUAGCUAGUUGGUAAGGUAACGGCUUACCAAGGCAACGAUGCGUAGCCGACCUGAGAGGGUGGUCGGCCAGCCUGGAACGGGGACACGGGCCAGACUCCGACGGGAGGCAGAAGUAGGGAAUCUUCCGCAAUGGGCGAAAGCCUGAAGGAGCAACGCCGCGUGAGUGAUGAAGGGCUUCGGAUCGUAAAACUCUGUUAUUAGGGAAGAACAAAUGUGUAAGUAACUAUGCACGUCUUGACGGUACCUAAUCAGAAAGCCACGGCUAACUACGUGC
This 498-nucleotide ribosomal RNA is filed under the name uncultured bacterium. RNAcentral's name for it is "partial 16S ribosomal RNA". It matches the Rfam family "Bacterial small subunit ribosomal RNA", at positions 28 to 508 of the family's 1533-position model. The record is from RNAcentral.